CUAAAGUUACCCGCUGCGGGUCACUUGGAUGCGGGCAGCCGGAACAUCAGGAAGGGCAAAGGUCUCUCUAGUGGGUUCGGGGGAAUGGAAGGAGGAAAACCUCCGCGAAGAGGCGAUCCACGGCCCGGCCCGGGCUCCCACGAUGGAUCCAGACUCGGGCUCCCUUGAGACAAGUCUGCCCCUAGACCCGGGCUGAGGGCAUUGGGCACGGACUAAAGUUCCGGGAACUUGGCAGUUGGCAGCUUCCACAGCGCUGGUCAAACAAACCAGAACUCUGACAGAAGACACUUUUAUGGCAGAGACCGGCUCUCAAGUUAGAAACAGAAAAGCUAACUGGAAAGGUCAGCAAGACCAUAUAACCUGUGGCCGUGGACAUUCAAGACUUCGAGUCUAAUUCAGUGCC
Long non-coding RNA from Neogale vison (American mink), 403 nucleotides. RefSeq lists it as uncharacterized. The record is from RefSeq and is a predicted model, not a curated record. Lineage: Eukaryota; Metazoa; Chordata; Mammalia; Carnivora; Mustelidae. The transcript has 4 exons.